AAUGGGUCAGCGACUUAUAUUCUGUAGCAAGGUUAACCGAAUAGGGGAGCCGAAGGGAAACCGAGUCUUAACUGGGCGUUAAGUUGCAGGGUAUAGACCCGAAACCCGGUGAUCUAGCCAUGGGCAGGUUGAAGGUUGGGUAACACUAACUGGAGGACCGAACCGACUAAUGUUGAAAAAUUAGCGGAUGACUUGUGGCUGGGGGUGAAAGGCCAAUCAAACCGGGAGAUAGCUGGUUCUCCCCGAAAGCUAUUUAGGUAGCGCCUCGUGAAUUCAUCUCCGGGGGUAGAGCACUGUUUCGGCAAGGGGGUCAUCCCGACUUACCAACCCGAUGCAAACUGCGAAUACCGGAGAAUGUUAUCACGGGAGACACACGGCGGGUGCUAACGUCCGUCGUGAAGAGGGAAACAACCCAGACCGCCAGCUAAGGUCCCAAAGUCAUGGUUAAGUGGGAAACGAUGUGGGAAGGCCCAGACAGCCAGGAUGUUGGCUUAGAAGCAGCCAUCAUUUAAAGAAAGCGUAAUAGCUCACUGGUCGAGUCGGCCUGCGCGGAAGA
This 556-nucleotide ribosomal RNA is filed under the name Escherichia coli. RNAcentral describes it as "partial 23S ribosomal RNA". It matches the Rfam family "Bacterial large subunit ribosomal RNA", at positions 614 to 1170 of the family's 2925-position model. The record is from RNAcentral. Lineage: Bacteria; Pseudomonadati; Pseudomonadota; Gammaproteobacteria; Enterobacterales; Enterobacteriaceae.